RNAcentral lists this ribosomal RNA (426 nucleotides) under uncultured bacterium. Its description in RNAcentral is "partial 16S ribosomal RNA". It matches the Rfam family "Bacterial small subunit ribosomal RNA", at positions 354 to 796 of the family's 1533-position model. The record is from RNAcentral.
GUGAGGAAUUUUCCGCAAUGGGCGAAAGCCUGACGGAGCAAUGCCGCGUGAAGGAUGAAGGCCUAUGGGUUGUAAACUUCUUUUCUUAGAGAAGAAUAUUGACGGUAUCUGAGGAAUAAGCAUCGGCUAACUCUGUGCCAGCAGCCGCGGUAAGACGAAGGGGGCGAGCGUUAUUCGGAAUCACUGGGCGUAAAGCGUGCGUAGGCGGUUUUGUAAGUUAGGAGUGAAAGCCCAGGGCUCAACCUUGGAAUUGCUCUUAAAACUGCAAGGCUCGAAUCUCGGAGAGGAUAGCGGAAUUUCCAGUGUAGCAGUGAAAUGCGUAGAUAUUGGAAGGAACACCAGUGGCGUAAGCGGCUAUCUGGACGAGUAUUGACGCUGAGGCACGAAAGCGUGGGGAUCAAACAGGAUUAGAAACCCCGGUAGUCC